RNAcentral lists this non-coding RNA (25 nucleotides) under Cricetulus griseus (Chinese hamster). Lineage: Eukaryota; Metazoa; Chordata; Mammalia; Rodentia; Cricetidae. The record is from RNAcentral.
UUAAGAAAGAACGACAAAAAGAUAC